GUACACAAAAAUGCACAUGCUGUGAGCUCGAUGAGUAGGGCGGGACACGUGGUAUCCUGUCUGAAUAUGGGGGGACCAUCCUCCAAGGCUAAAUACUCCUGACUGACCGAUAGUGAACCAGUACCGUGAGGGAAAGGCGAAAAGAACCCCGGCGAGGGGAGUGAAAAAGAACCUGAAACCGUGUACGUACAAGCAGUGGGAGCACAGAGCAAUCUGUGUGACUGCGUACCUUUUGUAUAAUGGGUCAGCGACUUAUAUUCUGUAGCAAGGUUAACCGAAUAGGGGAGCCGAAGGGAAACCGAGUCUUAACUGGGCGUUAAGUUGCAGGGUAUAGACCCGAAACCCGGUGAUCUAGCCAUGGGCAGGUUGAAGGUUGGGUAACACUAACUGGAGGACCGAACCGACUAAUGUUGAAAAAUUAGCGGAUGACUUGUGGCUGGGGGUGAAAGGCCAAUCAAACCGGGAGAUAGCUGGUUCUCCCCGAAAGCUAUUUAGGUAGCGCCUCGUGAAUUCAUCUCCGGGGGUAGAGCACUGUUUCGGCAAGGGGGUCAUCCCGACUUACCAACCCGAUGCAAACUGCGAAUACCGGAGAAUGUUAUCACGGGAGACACACGGCGGGUGCUAACGUCCGUCGUGAAGAGGGAAACAACCCAGACCGCCAGCUAAGGUCCCAAAGUCAUGGUUAAGUGGGAAACGAUGUGGGAAGGCCCAGACAGCCAGGAUGUUGGCUUAGAAGCAGCCAUCAUUUAAAGAAAGCGUAAUAGCUCACUGGUCGAGUCGGCCUGCGCGGAAGAUGUAACGGGGCUAAACCAUGCACCGAAGCUGCGGCAGCGACGCUGAUGCGUUGUUGGGUAGGGGAGCGUUCUGUAAGCCUGUGAAGGUGUGCUGUGAGGUAUGCUGGAGGUAUCAGAAGUGCGAAUGCUGACAUAAGUAACGAUAAAGCGGGUGAAAAGCCCGCUCGCCGGAAGACCAAGGGUUCCUGUCCAACGUUAAUCGGGGCAGGGUGAGUCGACCCCUAAGGCGAGGCCGAAAGGCGUAGUCGAUGGGAAACAGGUUAAUAUUCCUGUACUUGGUGUUACUGCGAAGGGGGGACGGAGAAGGCUAUGUUGGCCGGGCGACGGUUGUCCCGGUUUAAGCGUGUAGGCUGGUUUUCCAGGCAAAUCCGGAAAAUCAAGGCUGAGGCGUGAUGACGAGGCACUACGGUGCUGAAGCAACAAAUGCCCUGCUUCCAGGAAAAGCCUCUAAGCAUCAGGUAACAUCAAAUCGUACCCCAAACCGACACAGGUGGUCAGGUAGAGAAUACCAAGGCGCUUGAGAGAACUCGGGUGAAGGAACUAGGCAAAAUGGUGCCGUAACUUCGGGAGAAGGCACGCUGAUAUGUAGGUGAAGUCCCUCGCGGAUGGAGCUGAAAUCAGUCGAAGAUACCAGCUGGCUGCAACUGUUUAUUAAAAACACAGCACUGUGCAAACACGAAAGUGGACGUAUACGGUGUGACGCCUGCCCGGUGCCGGAAGGUUAAUUGAUGGGGUCAGCGCAAGCGAAGCUCUUGAUCGAAGCCCCGGUAAACGGCGGCCGUAACUAUAACGGUCCUAAGGUAGCGAAAUUCCUUGUCGGGUAAGUUCCGACCUGCACGAAUGGCGUAAUGAUGGCCAGGCUGUCUCCACCCGAGACUCAGUGAAAUUGAACUCGCUGUGAAGAUGCAGUGUACCCGCGGCAAGACGGAAAGACCCCGUGAACCUUUACUAUAGCUUGACACUGAACAUUGAGCCUUGAUGUGUAGGAUAGGUGGGAGGCUUUGAAGUGUGGACGCCAGUCUGCAUGGAGCCGACCUUGAAAUACCACCCUUUAAUGUUUGAUGUUCUAACGUUGACCCGUGAUCCGGGUUGCGGACAGUGUCUGGUGGGUAGUUUGACUGGGGCGGUCUCCUCCUAAAGAGUAACGGAGGAGCACGAAGGUUGGCUAAUCCUGGUCGGACAUCAGGAGGUUAGUGCAAUGGCAUAAGCCAGCUUGACUGCGAGCGUGACGGCGCGAGCAGGUGCGAAAGCAGGUCAUAGUGAUCCGGUGGUUCUGAAUGGAAGGGCCAUCGCUCAACGGAUAAAAGGUACUCCGGGGAUAACAGGCUGAUACCGCCCAAGAGUUCAUAUCGACGGCGGUGUUUGGCACCUCGAUGUCGGCUCAUCACAUCCUGGGGCUGAAGUAGGUCCCAAGGGUAUGGCUGUUCGCCAUUUAAAGUGGUACGCGAGCUGGGUUUAGAACGUCGUGAGACAGUUCGGUCCCUAUCUGCCGUGGGCGCUGGAGAACUGAGGGGGGCUGCUCCUAGUACGAGAGGACCGGAGUGGACGCAUCACUGGUGUUCGGGUUGUCAUGCCAAUGGCACUGCCCGGUAGCUAAAUGCGGAAGAGAUAAGUGCUGAAAGCAUCUAAGCACGAAACUUGCCCCGAGAUGAGUUCUCCCUGACCCUUUAAGGGUCCUGAAGGAACGUUGAAGACGACGACGUUGAUAGGCCG
RNAcentral lists this ribosomal RNA (2507 nucleotides) under Escherichia coli. RNAcentral describes it as "partial 23S ribosomal RNA". It matches the Rfam family "Bacterial large subunit ribosomal RNA", at positions 375 to 2863 of the family's 2925-position model. Lineage: Bacteria; Pseudomonadati; Pseudomonadota; Gammaproteobacteria; Enterobacterales; Enterobacteriaceae. The record is from RNAcentral.